UAAACGGCUUUUGGGGGGGAUGACUUCGACCGUACCCCCCGAAUAAGCCUCGGCUAACUCUGUGCCAGCAGCCGCGGUAAGACAGAGGAGGCAAGCGUUGUCCGGAUUGACUGGGCGUAAAGCGUCCGCAGGUGGCCUGCCAAGUGGGGUGUGAAAGCCGGUGGCUUAACCGCCGGAGGCCAUCCCAAACUGGCGCGCUGGAGCCGGGCAGAGGGUGACGGAAUUGCCGGUGUAGUGGUGAAAUGCGUAGAGAUCGGCAGGAAGACCAAGGGGGAAGCCAGUCACCUGGGCCCGCGCUGACACUCAUGGACGACCGCGUGGGGAGCGAACCGGAUUAGAUACCCGGGUAGUCCACGCCGUAAACGAUGUACGCUCGGCGUUUGGUGGUGCAUCCGCACCGCUGGGCGCCUCAGCUAACGCAUAAGCGUACCGCCUGGGAACUACGAGCGCAAGCUUAAAACUCAAAGGAAUUGACGGGGGCCCGCACAAGCAGCGGAGCGUGUGGUUUAAUUCGACGCAACACGCAGAACCUUACCCAGAUUUGACAUGCUAGUGCAAGCCCGUGAAAGCGGGUCGCCUGCGAGGGUCUAGCACAGAUGCUGCAUGGCUGUCGUCAGCUC
This 620-nucleotide ribosomal RNA is filed under the name uncultured bacterium. Its description in RNAcentral is "bacterial SSU rRNA". It matches the Rfam family "Bacterial small subunit ribosomal RNA", at positions 426 to 1061 of the family's 1533-position model. The record is from RNAcentral.